CCAAUAGCGUAUAUUAAAGUUGUUGCAGUUAAAAAGCUCGUAGUUGAAUUUCGGGGUUAGCAGGUCGGUCGUGCCACUGGUAUGCACUGGUCUCGCUGAUUCCUCCCUCUUGAUGAGCCGUAAUGUCAUUAAUUUGGUGUUGCGAGGAAUCAGGACUGUUACUUUGAAAAAAUUAGAGUGUUUAAAGCAGGCAAGCGCUUGAAUACAUUAGCAUGGAAUAAUGAAAUAGGACGUUUGAUCUUAUUUUGUUGGUUUCUAAGAUUGACGUAAUGAUUAAUAGGGAUAGUUGGGGGCAUUAGUAUUCAAUUGUCAGAGGUGAAAUUCUUGGAUUUAUUGAAGACUAACUACUGCGAAAGCAUUUGCCAAGGAUGUUUUCAUUAAUCAAGAACGAAAGUUAGGGGAUCGAAGACGAUCAGAUACCGUCGUAGUCUUAACCAUAAACUAUGCCGACUAGGGAUCGGAUGAUGUUAAUUUUUUAAUGACUCAUUCGGCGCCUUACG
Molecule: ribosomal RNA, 500 nt
Filed under: uncultured Glomeromycotina
Lineage: Eukaryota; Fungi; Glomeromycota
Description: partial small subunit ribosomal RNA
Rfam family: Eukaryotic small subunit ribosomal RNA
Source: RNAcentral